GGGCCCAAACCCGAACGUUAAAACCGUCGUCUAUCUCCGCCCCGUCCUGGCUCAUAUAUAAUAUAUAAACUAGCGUUUCCCGGCCAUUUGAGCGACAGAAGAAAGAAGAAUACAGAGAGAAGGGAAUCGCAGCUUUCGCUUUCUCUCUCUCUCUCUCUCUCUCUCUCUCUAUAUAUAUUGUAGAAACCCUGACCGGUUCUCCGUGUUGAUUUUCCGGCUGAGGUUCUUUGCGGCUUCUCCAGAAAAUCUGUGAGAGACAAAUCUCAGUGGGAGCGAAGAGAGGUGCUUUCUUUCGAUCGGAGGGGCGGCCGUCCGAUCAAUGGUGAUUGCGGGUGUGACGGAAGAGGGGCAGAGCGCGCGCAAGUUCAUGGCGAUGGGUCCCGAGAGAUCCAAGCCUCUGCAUAAUUUCUCGUUGGGGUGCUUGAAGUGGGGGAACCAGAGGUUACUCAGGUGCGUCAAAGUGAAUUCCGAAGGCGGAGUUUCAGCCGCCGACAGCGGAUCGCCGGGUUCCGGGACGGAUAAGUCUUCGCUGGUUCGCCGCGGGGAGGAUGAUUUUGAGAAGCGUGGAUCUCUCUAUUGUUCGGAGACUUUCAUGAAGUCUCCGUCGCCCGCGGCGGGGAUCGAAAGUUUGAAAAGGCCGAGGAUUGAGAGUGACGGAGAUGAUGGAAUCGAAGCGGUGAGAGCGAAGCUGUUGUUCGAUCUUCAAGCGGCGGCGGAUAAGAUGAAGGUUGCUUUGGUGAGGGAAGGCCAGGCGGCGGAGGAAGAGUCUGCUACCGCGGCGAGGCCUUGGAAUUUGAGGACGAGGAGAGCUGCGUGCAAGGCGCCGGCUGGUGGCGGCGGCGGAGGAGGAGGCAAGAGUUUCAAGGUUGAUGAGAGCAGACCUGGUUUAUCUCCUCUAAAAUCCGAGAACAAGUUCUCAAUGUCCAGAGGCAUCGCCGCUUCGCCUGAGAAAAAAGAGAGGCGGAAAUUCACGAUACCACUUUCCCGGCAGGAGAUUGAGGAGGACUAUUACGCAAUUUUGGUACAUAGGCCCCCACGGAGGCCGAAGAAGCGGGCCAAGAUUGUACAGAAGCAAAUAGAUACUCUUUUUCCAGGCUCAUGGCUAACGGAAAUUACAGCUGAUACAUACAAAGUUCCUGAUUUUCCCGAGACUAGCAAGAAGUUGUAGUUGUAUCUAUCUCAAUUUCUGGACGUUUAGAGCUUUCUGGUUGCUGACCAUUGACAACUGGUAAGCAACACGUGAUGAAUAAACAAACUGUCCUCGGUGUAGAAACUAUUUGCUUUUGCCAAUUCACGCCCAUAACAAAAAGGAUCGCACUGGCUACUUGCUUCCGCAGUUCUAUACUAAUACCAUAGGCUACGCAGUAUUUUCUAUUUGUGCAUUCGCUCGGCUUCCAUUUUUGCAGGUCCCAGUCUUGACCAUUGGAAAUUAUUUCAGAUUGUGUACCUGUCUGGUGCCCUCCCAAUAUAUAAUGUUUCUGAUCUUUCCUAAUAUUUUCCCACAUAUGGCUAAUUUCUAGCUAAAAGGAACCCGAGCUUUAAUUCUAUGGUUUGCCUCGUGGGUCUAGAUCGGUCUUCCAACAUGAGCUUUGGCUCCAAGAUGUUUGGUUUUUGUGCCGAUGAGCAGAGUUCAAAUCCUUUGAUUAGAGGAAUUGUGCAUUUUUGUUGCAGGGAUUUUUUUUGUUUUUCUUUUUUUGUGGGGAGUGGUGAGGUGUGAGUGGGUGGUGGGGAUGUGUUUGGCAUACAGCAAAAAAUCUAGCUAAAAUAAAGUAUGGAAAAUUGUGAUUGCGGUGUGAAA
Molecule: RNA transcript, 1798 nt
Organism: Malania oleifera
Lineage: Eukaryota; Viridiplantae; Streptophyta; Magnoliopsida; Santalales; Ximeniaceae
Exons: 4
Source: RefSeq, a predicted model, not a curated record